AGCGGCGGACGGGUGAGUAAUACUUAGGAAUCUACCUAGUAGUGGGGGAUAGCUCGGGGAAACUCGAAUUAAUACCGCAUACGACCUACGGGAGAAAGGGGGCAACUUGUUGCUCUCGCUAUUAGAUGAGCCUAAGUCGGAUUAGCUAGAUGGUGGGGUAAAGGCCUACCAUGGCGACGAUCUGUAGCUGGUCUGAGAGGAUGAUCAGCCACACCGGGACUGAGACACGGCCCGGACUCCUACGGGAGGCAGCAGUGGGGAAUAUUGGACAAUGGGGGAAACCCUGAUCCAGCCAUGCCGCGUGUGUGAAGAAGGCCUUUUGGUUGUAAAGCACUUUAAGCAGUGAAGAAGACUCCUCGGUUAAUACCCGUGGACGAUGACAUUAGCUGCAGAAUAAGCACCGGCUAACUCUGUGCCAGCAGCCGCGGUAAUACAGAGGGUGCAAGCGUUAAUCGGAAUUACUGGGCGUAAAGGGAGCGUAGGUGGCUCGAUAAGUCAGAUGUGAAAUCCCCGGGCUCAACCUGGGAACUGCAUCUGAUACUGUUGAGCUAGAGUAUGUGAGAGGAAGGUAGAAUUCCAGGUGUAGCGGUGAAAUGCGUAGAGAUCUGGAGGAAUACCGAUGGCGAAGGCAGCCUUCUGGCAUAAUACUGACACUGAGGCUCGAAAGCGUGGGUAGCAAACAGGAUUAGAUACCCUGGUAGUCCACGCCGUAAACGAUGUCUACUAGUCGUUGGGUCCCUUGAGGACUUAGUGACGCAGCUAACGCAAUAAGUAGACCGCCUGGGGAGUACGGCCGCAAGGUUAAAACUCAAAUGAAUUGACGGGGGCCCGCACAAGCGGUGGAGCAUGUGGUUUAAUUCGAUGCAACGCGAAGAACCUUACCUGGUCUUGACAUAUCUAGAAUCCUGCAGAGAUGCGGGAGUGCCUUCGGGAAUUAGAAUACAGGUGCUGCAUGGCUGUCGUCAGCUCGUGUCGUGAGAUGUUGGGUUAAGUCCCGCAACGAGCGCAACCCUUGUCCUUAGUUACCAGCGGGUUAUGCCGGGAACUCUAAGGAUACUGCCAGUGACAAACUGGAGGAAGGCGGGGACGACGUCAAGUCAUCAUGGCCCUUACGACCAGGGCUACACACGUGCUACAAUGGUAGGUACAGAGGGCAGCUACACAGCGAUGUGAUGCGAAUCUCAAAAAGCCUAUCGUAGUCCGGAUUGGAGUCUGCAACUCGACUCCAUGAAGUAGGAAU
RNAcentral lists this ribosomal RNA (1240 nucleotides) under Psychrobacter sp. RNAcentral's name for it is "bacterial SSU rRNA". It matches the Rfam family "Bacterial small subunit ribosomal RNA", at positions 94 to 1332 of the family's 1533-position model. Lineage: Bacteria; Pseudomonadati; Pseudomonadota; Gammaproteobacteria; Moraxellales; Moraxellaceae. The record is from RNAcentral.